ACGGAAGGCAGCAGUGGGGAAUAUUGCACAAUGGGGGAAACCCUGAUGCAGCGACGCCGCGUGAGUGAUGAAGUAUUUCGGUAUGUAAAGCUCUAUCAGCAGGGAAGAUAAUGACGGUACCUGACUAAGAAGCCCCGGCUAAAUACGUGCCAGCAGCCGCGGUAAUACGUAUGGGGCAAGCGUUAUCCGGAUUUACUGGGUGUAAAGGGAGCGCAGGCGGUUUUGUAAGUUGAGUGUGAAAGCCCGGGGCUCAACCCCGGGACUGCACCCAAAACUGCAGGACUAGAGUGUCGGAGGGGCAAGCGGAAUUCCUAGUGUAGCGGUGAAAUGCGUAGAUAUUAGGAGGAACACCGGUGGCGAAGGCGGCUUGCUGGACGAUAACUGACGCUGAGGCUCGAAAGCGUGGGGAGCAAACAGGAUUAGAUACCCUGGUA
RNAcentral lists this ribosomal RNA (434 nucleotides) under uncultured bacterium. RNAcentral's name for it is "partial 16S ribosomal RNA". It matches the Rfam family "Bacterial small subunit ribosomal RNA", at positions 341 to 792 of the family's 1533-position model. The record is from RNAcentral.